Molecule: ribosomal RNA, 253 nt
Filed under: uncultured bacterium
Lineage: Bacteria
Description: partial 16S ribosomal RNA
Rfam family: Bacterial small subunit ribosomal RNA
Source: RNAcentral
UACAGAGGUCUCAAGCGUUGUUCGGAAUCACUGGGCGUAAAGGGUGCGUAGGCCGCACGGUAAGUCAGAGGUGAAAUCCCGGAGCUCAACUUCGGAAUUGCCUCCGAUACUGCCGUGCUUGAGGACUGGAGAGGAGUCUGGAAUUCACAGUGGAGCAGUGAAAUGCGUAGAUAUCAAGAGGAACACCGGUGGCGAAGGCGGCCUUCUGGGCAUUACCUGACGCUGAGGAGCGAAAGUGUGGGGAGCGAACAGG